RNAcentral lists this ribosomal RNA (484 nucleotides) under uncultured bacterium. RNAcentral describes it as "partial 16S ribosomal RNA". It matches the Rfam family "Bacterial small subunit ribosomal RNA", at positions 29 to 507 of the family's 1533-position model. The record is from RNAcentral.
AUUGAACGCUAGCGGGAUGCUUUACACAUGCAAGUCGAACGGCAGCGCGGACUUCGGUCUGGCGGCGAGUGGCGAACGGGUGAGUAAUGUAUCGGAACGUGCCCAGUAGCGGGGGAUAACUACGCGAAAGCGUAGCUAAUACCGCAUACGCCCUACGGGGGAAAGCAGGGGAUCGUAAGACCUUGCACUAUUGGAGCGGCCGAUAUCGGAUUAGCUAGUUGGUGAGGUAACGGCUCACCAAGGCGACGAUCCGUAGCUGGUUUGAGAGGACGACCAGCCAAAACGGAAACGGGGAAAGGGCCCGACUCCCACGGGAGGCAGCAGUGGGGAAUUUUGGAACAUGGGGGCAACCCUGAUCCAGCCAUCCCGCGUGUGCGAUGAAGGCCUUCGGGUUGUAAAGCACUUUUGGCAGGAAAGAAACGUCGCGGGCUAAUACCCCGUGGAACUGACGGUACCUGCAGAAUAAGCACCGGCUAACUACGUG